GGAAUAUUGGACAAUGGGCGCAAGCCUGAUCCAGCCAUGCCGCGUGAGUGAAGAAGGCCUUCGGGUUGUAAAGCUCUUUUGUCCGGAAAGAAAAGCCUUGGGUUAAUACCCUGAGGUUCUGACGGUACCGGAAGAAUAAGCACCGGCUAACUUCGUGCCAGCAGCCGCGGUAAUACGAAGGGUGCAAGCGUUACUCGGAAUUACUGGGCGUAAAGCGUGCGUAGGUGGUUUGUUAAGUCUGAUGUGAAAGCCCUGGGCUCAACCUGGGAAUGGCAUUGGAUACUGGCAGGCUAGAGUGCGGUAGAGGGUAGUGGAAUUCCCGGUGUAGCAGUGAAAUGCGUAGAGAUCGGGAGGAACAUCUGUGGCGAAGGCGACUACCUGGACCAGCACUGACACUGAGGCACGAAAGCGUGGGGAGCAAACAG
Molecule: ribosomal RNA, 425 nt
Filed under: uncultured bacterium
Lineage: Bacteria
Description: bacterial SSU rRNA
Rfam family: Bacterial small subunit ribosomal RNA
Source: RNAcentral